Acanthopagrus latus (yellowfin seabream) is the source of this 770-nucleotide long non-coding RNA. RefSeq lists it as uncharacterized. The transcript is spliced from 3 exons. The record is from RefSeq and is a predicted model, not a curated record. Lineage: Eukaryota; Metazoa; Chordata; Actinopteri; Spariformes; Sparidae.
ACAGCCUCUUUUUAAUCACAGUUGGGGUUUGCUGGAGUUGUGAUCUCAGAUCUAUAAUGCAUGUUGUAACGUUCAUAUUCUGUGUGUGCGUGUGUGUCGCAGGGGCGACUGAGUAAACAUCGUCUUAAAGAACGCCUCGUCAGCCCUCGGUGGCAGUGAUGAUCACGGAAAGACAGAUGGAGACACUUGCCAGGGAUGUGACACCACCAUCUGUGGGUGAAGGGGAGAAGACAACCUGAGACCUCCGGAUCAGAAGACGACACCGCUGCUACAGAGAGGAAACAAACUGCUCGCUCCUCCUGCUUCGCUCUGCUUUGCCUCUGUGGGAUAAGGUGCAGGCAGGGGAUGGUAAGCUGAUCCAAGGCCAGGGUUUGACAGUGCCCGAGGCUGUGCCUCCGUGUAGCCACUCCAGCGGAGGCUGCGCCAGAGAACAGUAAAUGCUGCAAUAAAAAAAAAUCCUCUAAUCUCCAACACUUUCCAACCUGACACUUUCCACUGUCUGCUUUCUAGAGUUUAAAUAAGUGGGUUGCUAUCCACUGUGAUUAAUGACUAGCUAUAUGUGUGACUGAUGUCGACUUUUAAUGAUCACAUUUUGUCGAAUAGAUUUUAGUGAGUAUAUUCUAUUAAACGUUACACAUCGGUUCGAUACGUAACCUUUGUUGCAUGUCAUAACCCUUCCAUCCCCGUUUCUGAUAAAAAUAGCAUUCAUGUGGAUGCAGAUUUGCCUGGUCCACGUUUUCAUAUUCAUAACUUGUCCUAUCAUGUAUUGA